This 470-nucleotide ribosomal RNA is filed under the name uncultured bacterium. RNAcentral describes it as "bacterial SSU rRNA". It matches the Rfam family "Bacterial small subunit ribosomal RNA", at positions 338 to 793 of the family's 1533-position model. The record is from RNAcentral.
CCUACGGGAGGCGAGCAGUGGGGAAUAUUGCACAAUGGGCGCAAGCCUGAUGCAGCCAUGCCGCGUGUAUGAAGAAGGCCUUCGGGUUGUAAAGUACUUUCAGCAGUGAGGAAGGUGGGUAUGUUAAUAGCAUACUCAUUUGACGUUAGCUGCAGAAGAAGCACCGGCUAACUCCGUGCCAGCAGCCGCGGUAAUACGGAGGGUGCGAGCGUUAAUCGGAAUUACUGGGCGUAAAGCGCAUGCAGGUGGUUUGUUAAGUCAGAUGUGAAAGCCCGGGGCUCAACCUCGGAAUUGCAUUUGAAACUGGCAAACUAGAGUACUGUAGAGGGGGUAGAAUUUCAGGUGUAGCGGUGAAAAUGCGUAGAGAUCUGAAGGAAUACCGGUGGCGAAGGCGGCCCCCUGGACAGAUACUGACACUCAGAUGCGAAAGCGUCGGGGAGCCCAAACAGGAUUACGUAUACCCUCGGUAG